RNAcentral lists this ribosomal RNA (369 nucleotides) under Triticum aestivum (bread wheat). RNAcentral's name for it is "partial small subunit ribosomal RNA". Lineage: Eukaryota; Viridiplantae; Streptophyta; Magnoliopsida; Poales; Poaceae. The record is from RNAcentral.
AUGGUUUGGUUGGGCGCCCCCGAUCAGGGCGCGAGUCAGGGGCCCGUUCGACCCGUUGGGCUCGAACGGGAGAGAGAUCAACCUAACACAGAUAACUCUCGAUCUUCAGUAUGGCGCCUCAAGUUCUGGAACGUAACCCCGCAUCCAAAACGACAUGAUCGCUCGCAUUUAUUUCGCAUGAUCUUUCAAUUCCAGGCCAACACCUAUAGGUCGCAUGAUCUCCCCCUUCGAAUCUUGGUCGACGUAGAGUGGUUGGGAGGAGGAGGAUACACAGGGAGCGGCAACUUUGACAAAUGGAAGAGUUCGGGGUUGUUAAUGGCGACAAUAUGUCUUGGUUACCAAAAUAAAUGGCUUUCAUUACUCAUGUAG